RNAcentral lists this ribosomal RNA (490 nucleotides) under uncultured bacterium. Its description in RNAcentral is "partial 16S ribosomal RNA". It matches the Rfam family "Bacterial small subunit ribosomal RNA", at positions 30 to 507 of the family's 1533-position model. The record is from RNAcentral.
AUUGAACGCUGGCGGCAGGCCUAACACAUGCAAGUCGAACGGUAACAGGAAGAAGCUUGCUUCUUUGCUGACGAGUGGCGGACGGGUGAGUAAUGUCUGGGAAACUGCCUGAUGGAGGGGGAUAACUACUGGAAACGGUUGCUAAUACCGCAUAACGUCGCAAGACCAAAGAGGGGGACCUUCGGGCCUCUUGCCAUCGGAUGUGCCCAGAUGGGAUUAGCUAGUAGGUGGGGUAACGGCUCACCUAGGCGACGAUCCCUAGCUGGUCUGAGAGGAUGACCAGCCACACUGGAACUGAGACACGGUCCAGACUCCUACGGGAGGCAGCAGUGGGGAAUAUUGCACAAUGGGCGCAAGCCUGAUGCAGCCAUGCCGCGUGUAUGAAGAAGGCCUUCGGGUUGUAAAGUACUUUCAGCGGGGAGGAAGGGAGUAAAGUUAAUACCUUUGCUCAUUGACGUUACCCGCAGAAGAAGCACCGGCUAACUCCGUG